GUGGGGAAUAUUGGACAAUGGGCGAAAGCCUGAUCCAGCCAUGCCGCGUGUGUGAAGAAGGUCUUCGGAUUGUAAAGCACUUUAAGUUGGGAGGAAGGGCAGUAAGUUAAUACCUUGCUGUUUUGACGUUACCGACAGAAUAAGCACCGGCUAACUUCGUGCCAGCAGCCGCGGUAAUACGUAGGGGGCAAGCGUUGUCCGGAAUGAUUGGGCGUAAAGGGCGCGUAGGCGGCCUGGUAAGUCUGGAGUGAAAGUCCUGCUUUUAAGGUGGGAAUUGCUUUGGAUACUGCUGGGCUUGAGUGCAGGAGAGGUAAGUGGAAUUCCCGGUGUAGCGGUGAAAUGCGUAGAGAUCGGGAGGAACACCAGUGGCGAAGGCGACUUACUGGACUGUAACUGACGCUGAGGCGCGAAAGUGUGGGGAGCAAACAGGAUUAGAUACCCGUGUAGUCC
RNAcentral lists this ribosomal RNA (450 nucleotides) under uncultured bacterium. RNAcentral's name for it is "partial 16S ribosomal RNA". It matches the Rfam family "Bacterial small subunit ribosomal RNA", at positions 354 to 796 of the family's 1533-position model. The record is from RNAcentral.